Molecule: ribosomal RNA, 402 nt
Filed under: bacterium
Lineage: Bacteria
Description: partial 16S ribosomal RNA
Rfam family: Bacterial small subunit ribosomal RNA
Source: RNAcentral
UGGGGAAUUUUGCACAAUGGGGGAAACCCUGAUGCAGCGACGCCGCGUGAUUUAGAAGGCCUUCGGGUUGUAAAAAUCUUUUCUAUGGGAAGAAAAUGACAGUACCAUAGGAAUAAGGACCGGCUAAUUACGUGCCAGCAGCCGCGGUAAUACGUAAGGUCCGAGCGUUGUCCGGAAUCAUUGGGCGUAAAGGGUACGUAGGCGGGUAAGCAAGUUAGAAGUGAAAUCCUAUAGCUCAACUAUAGUAAGCUUUUAAAACUGCUCAUCUUGAUGUAUGGAAGGGAAAGUGGAAUUCCUAGUGUAGCUGUGAAAUGCGCAGAUAUUAGGAGGAAUACCGGUGGCGAAGGCGACUUUCUGGCCAUAACCUGACGCUGAGGUACGAAAGCGUGGGUAGCAAACAGG